Molecule: ribosomal RNA, 369 nt
Filed under: uncultured organism
Description: bacterial SSU rRNA
Rfam family: Bacterial small subunit ribosomal RNA
Source: RNAcentral
CGUAGGUGGCAAGCGUUGUCCGGAUUUAUUGGGUUUAAAGGGUGCGUAGGCGGCCCUGUAAGUCAGUGGUGAAAUGCUCUAGCUUAACUAGAGAGGUGCCAAUGAUACUGCAGGGCUUGAGUACAGAUGAGGUAGGCGGAAUUGACGGUGUAGCGGUGAAAUGCAUAGAUAUCGUCAAGAACACCUAUAGCGAAGGCAGCUUACUGGGCUGUAACUGACGCUGAGGCACGAAAGUGUGGGGAUCAAACAGGAUUAGAUACCCUGGUAGUCCACACUGUAAACGUUGAUUACUCGCUGCUUGCGAUACACAGCAAGCGGCUUAGCGAAAGCGAUAAGUAAUCCACCGUGGGGAGUACGCCGGCAACGGUG